This 250-nucleotide ribosomal RNA is filed under the name uncultured bacterium. RNAcentral's name for it is "partial 16S ribosomal RNA". It matches the Rfam family "Bacterial small subunit ribosomal RNA", at positions 524 to 773 of the family's 1533-position model. The record is from RNAcentral.
CACGGGGGGAGCAAGCGUUGUUCGGAUUCAUUGGGCGUAAAGAGCUCGUAGGCGGCUCUGUAAGUCGGGGGUGAAAGACCACGGCUCAACCGUGGAACCGCCCUCGAAACUGUGGAGCUUGAGGCCGGGAGAGGAGAUCGGAAUUCCUGGUGUAGCGGUGAAAUGCGUAGAUAUCAGGAGGAACACCGGUGGCGAAGGCGGAUCUCUGGACCGGUUCUGACGCUCAGGAGCGAAAGCCAGGGGAGCAAAC